This 638-nucleotide unclassified non-coding RNA is filed under the name Hevea brasiliensis (rubber tree). Lineage: Eukaryota; Viridiplantae; Streptophyta; Magnoliopsida; Malpighiales; Euphorbiaceae. The record is from RNAcentral.
CAAAAAUAUUCCAACAAACUUUUAGUACAAGUUCACGAGACACUCAUUUUAGCAUCUUUUAUCUUAUUAUAAAAAGCCACACAAAUAUUAGGUCUAACAUAAUAUCAAAAAAUAAAAAUUGAAAAAAUUUGUUUGUGAAAAUUAAUGGCAAACUCCAUGCGUUUAUUUGCUACUAUGUUACUUCUAGCAAUGCUUGUCAUGGCUACUGGACCAAUGAGAAUUGUUGAGGCAAGAACUUGUGAGUCUCAGAGUCAUCGUUUCAAAGGACCAUGUGUGAGUGAGAAGAAUUGUGCCUCGGUAUGUGAGACCGAAGGAUUUUCCGGUGGUGAUUGUCGUGGAUUCCGUCGCCGUUGCUUUUGCACCAAGCCAUGCUAAAUAAAUAAUUUUGAUUUUUAUGUGUAAAAGAAGAAGUUUGAGAAGAAAAAAAAUAUUAUGUAAUUUUGAAUAAAGAUGUAUUGUAAUGCUAGUUUUGUUUGUAAAAACUAGUUGUGAUCUUUGAAUUUGUAUGCAAUUAUGGUGCACUAGACUUGUAAUUCUUCAUGUGGUGUAUUUUUAUUUUUAUUUUUGAAAUAUUAUAGAUAAAAUUUGUCUUUUAGCCUUUUUGUUAGUAAGUUUUAAUAAAAUAUUCUUCGAUGCGG